CGCUGCAUUAGCUAGUUGGUAAGGUAACGGCUUACCAAGGCAACGAUGCAUAGCCGACCUGAGAGGGUGAUCGGCCACACUGGAACUGAGACACGGUCCAGACUCCUACGGGAGGCAGCAGUAGGGAAUCUUCCGCAAUGGGCGAAAGCCUGACGGAGCAACGCCGCGUGAGUGAUGAAGGUCUUCGGAUCGUAAAACUCUGUUAUUAGGGAAGAACAUAUGUGUAAGUAACUGUGCACAUCUUGACGGUACCUAAUCAGAAAGCCACGGCUAACUACGUGCCAGCAGCCGCGGUAAUACGUAGGUGGCAAGCGUUAUCCGGAAUUAUUGGGCGUAAAGCGCGCGUAGGCGGUUUCUUAAGUCUGAUGUGAAAGCCCACGGCUCAACCGUGGAGGGUCAUUGGAAACUGGGAAACUUGAGUGCAGAAGAGGAAAGUGGAAUUCCAUGUGUAGCGGUGAAAUGCGCAGAGAUAUGGAGGAACACCAGUGGCGAAGGCGACUUUCUGGUCUGUAACUGACGCUGAUGUGCGAAAGCGUGGGGAUCAAACAGGAUUAGAUACCCUGGUAGUCCACGCCGUAAACGAUGAGUGCUAAGUGUUAGGGGGUUUCCGCCCCUUAGUGCUGCAGCUAACGCAUUAAGCACUCCGCCUGGGGAGUACGACCGCAAGGUU
This 670-nucleotide ribosomal RNA is filed under the name Staphylococcus aureus. Its description in RNAcentral is "bacterial SSU rRNA". It matches the Rfam family "Bacterial small subunit ribosomal RNA", at positions 234 to 895 of the family's 1533-position model. The record is from RNAcentral. Lineage: Bacteria; Bacillati; Bacillota; Bacilli; Caryophanales; Staphylococcaceae.